Long non-coding RNA from Xiphophorus couchianus (Monterrey platyfish), 313 nucleotides. RefSeq lists it as uncharacterized. The record is from RefSeq and is a predicted model, not a curated record. The transcript has 2 exons. Lineage: Eukaryota; Metazoa; Chordata; Actinopteri; Cyprinodontiformes; Poeciliidae.
UAUGACGCAGAUUGUUUUUGGAUGUUUGUCUGUUUUGAUUAGCAUUUUUUUUUUUUUUUUUGUUUUGUAAUGGUAUUUACAAUUUGUAAUGUUUUGGGGGGUUUUGUUGUACCUCUUGGGCUGCCGUAACUAAUGAGGGCAGGCCCUUUAAAGGCUGGUAGAAUCGUUGUGUCAAUCAAUGACUUGAACUGUCAAGCUGAGUAGCAUGAAGAAAUCAACACUUAGUGUUCCCCAGUGAAAGCAGCGAGUUUUCACGGUGACUGUGGUGAUUCUGAAUCACCCGAAGAAAAAUAAAACGCUAAAUUCACCCGUC